UGCAGUCGAACGGUAAGGCCCCUUCGGGGGUACACGAGUGGCGAACGGGUGAGUAACACGUGAGUAACCUGCCCUUGACUCUGGGAUAACAUCUGGAAACAGGUGCUAAUACCGGAUAUUCAGCUUCCUCUGCAUGGGGGUUGUUGGAAAGCUCCGGCGGUCAAGGAUGGACUCGCGGCCUAUCAGCUUGUUGGUGAGGUAAUGGCUCACCAAGGCUCCGACGGGUAGCCGGCCUGAGAGGGCGACCGGCCACAUUGGGACUGAGAUACGGCCCAAACUCCUACGGGAGGCAGCAGUGGGGAAUAUUGCACAAUGGGCGCAAGCCUGAUGCAGCAACGCCGCGUGCGGGAUGACGGCCUUCGGGUUGUAAACCGCUUUCAUCCAUGACGAAGCGAGAGUGACGGUAGUGGAAGAAGAAGCACCGGCUAACUACGUGCCAGCCGCCGCGGUAAAA
RNAcentral lists this ribosomal RNA (454 nucleotides) under Actinomycetales bacterium. Its description in RNAcentral is "bacterial SSU rRNA". It matches the Rfam family "Bacterial small subunit ribosomal RNA", at positions 56 to 525 of the family's 1533-position model. The record is from RNAcentral. Lineage: Bacteria; Bacillati; Actinomycetota; Actinomycetes; Actinomycetales.